Cordylochernes scorpioides is the source of this 77-nucleotide non-coding RNA. The record is from the annotation of a GenBank genome assembly. Lineage: Eukaryota; Metazoa; Arthropoda; Arachnida; Pseudoscorpiones; Chernetidae.
UGUCCAGGGAUGGGAAUCGAACCCACAGUGUUCCCCGCUUACCGGGCAGAUGCCAUGUCCACUAGGCUACCUUAGAC